This 355-nucleotide unclassified non-coding RNA is filed under the name soil metagenome. RNAcentral's name for it is "partial contains 5.8S ribosomal RNA, internal transcribed spacer 2, and large subunit ribosomal RNA". The stretch from base 1 to 120 matches the Rfam family "5.8S ribosomal RNA", at positions 35 to 154 of the family's 154-position model. The record is from RNAcentral.
GAUGAAGAACGCAGCGAAAUGCGAUAAGUAAUGUGAAUUGCAGAAUUCAGUGAAUCAUCGAAUCUUUGAACGCACAUUGCGCCCAUUAGUAUUCUAGUGGGCAUGCCUGUUCGAGCGUCAUUAAGUCCACUUAAGCCCUGCUUAGUGUUGGGAGACUGCUCCAGCGGUGCUACCCUGUAGCUACCCUGCAGCUCCUCAAAGACAGCGGCGGAGUUGUGGUAUCCUCUGAGCUUAGUAACUUGUUCUAGCUUUCGAGUACACCACUUCCCCUGCCGUAAAACCCUUAAUUUUUAAUGGUUGACCUCGGAUCAGGUAGGAAUACCUGCUGAACUUAAGCAUAUCAAUAAGCGGAGGA